GGUUGAGAUCUAUGAGGAUAUAACGGUAAUGCAUGCGAGCAAGGACGAGUUUGCGGCUCUGCUCUCAGAUCGAUGACCAAUAUGUGUUCACAGCAUUUUAUCAUAGAUUGAAACGUACGGAUCCAUGAGUACCAUAGGAGACAUCCAGCUGCACGCACUAGUUGUUGAUGCCAAUGAGGAACAUGAAGCACUGCUCAAACAGGAGCCUCAAGUGGAGAGAUGAAUGAUUGAUUCGCCUUCAGUGAGAUUGGAACUUAUCACUUGCCUUCAGACGAUUGAUAGCAACAACUAUCCUGAGGUACUAUCUAUACGAACAUCUUUUGGUCUAUAUUAUUUUUGUGGACAACACAACUGUGAGUUUUCUUGUUUUCAUUGCAGACUGUGAAUUGUAUGUUUAUCAUUAAUGCUGGUUCUGGU
Rosa chinensis is the source of this 417-nucleotide long non-coding RNA. RefSeq lists it as uncharacterized. The transcript has 3 exons. NCBI's taxonomy places the organism in Eukaryota, Viridiplantae, Streptophyta, Magnoliopsida, Rosales, Rosaceae. The record is from RefSeq and is a predicted model, not a curated record.